CUUCGAAGGAAAUGGAUGGUUUCUGGAAAAAGUUGUAAUCAAGGAUCCUGUAACAGAUUUGGAUUAUACUUUUCUUUGUCACAGGUGGCUGGACCAGGGACAGGAUGAUGGCAGUAUUGCUAGAGAACUGCCUGUGACAGAUGCCAGCACAUUUCCAGGAAGACAAGAGCUGGAACUCAAGAGAGUAAAAACUGUAAGAGUAUAUAUUUUUAUUUUAACCAUU
Parus major (Great Tit) is the source of this 223-nucleotide long non-coding RNA. RefSeq lists it as uncharacterized. NCBI's taxonomy places the organism in Eukaryota, Metazoa, Chordata, Aves, Passeriformes, Paridae. The record is from RefSeq and is a predicted model, not a curated record. The transcript is spliced from 3 exons.